GUCGCUGCCCUGGCAACGGCCACUUAACGGCCACAGCCGCUCUCGAGAGAGCUGCCGGGCUGCUCUGUGACCUCGGGGUUCCCUGGAACCAGUCGAAACACCCCUGUACCUCGCGAUCGGUCGCUGCGGUUCUGGGACAGCUCCGGAGCAGCGAACCUCAGCGAUCAAGGUACCAGUAUAGCUUUUCCCUUCUGGAAUUUGAACAUUAGGAGGCAUAUAUUAGGAAGGAUUUAAAAGAAUUUAGUCAAACAGCAUUUCCAAAUCGGGGACCUGAGCCUGAGCACAUUAAUUUAACAGCCAUGGAUGGAGUUUUAAAAUAAACAAACAAACAAACAAAAAACCCACAGAAGAAAAAAGAAGUGCAAAAGAGAGAAAGUUAGAAGGAAAGAAGGAAGGAAAGAAAGAACGAAGACUGCCUGGCUCGCCAUAGCUUCUCCAGUUGACACCUCUUGGACUGACAAGGAUGACUGUUGCCACUAUCCUGAGCUGUUUGCAUGGCAACUGCUGACCUGCAAUGCAUCAUGGUUUGGUGCACCAGCACAGCUCUAUCCUUGUCCAUUAGAGUAUGCUGUCCAUUGCAAUGUUUCAGCUGCUGAUUUGAAAACACUACACCAUUUCUUAAACAACUGCUAUUAGGUAGAGCUAAGAUGAUGAACCUCCUGCAAGAAAAGCAAGAAAAACAAAUGUAAAAGGAGCAGAUGGAGUAGAGCAGGUGUGAAAGUUUGACUCCAGAGAGACUGAUGGCAACAUACCAGCUGGAUUCUGCAUGACCAGACUUAAGAGUGCCUCCCAGCCCCGCCGCUUGUCUCUGGAAAAAAAUCUCACAUAAGCAGGAGGGAAACAACUUUGGUAUGGCAACUGCCAGAGCAAGACAGAGUGUCGCAUUUUCUCUCUGACAAAAUUUACUGUCAAAGCUUCUAUUCAGUAAACCUUCGACACCAACACUAAAGGCAAAAGUGGGAAAAGGAAUGCCUAAUAAAUGAAACUCAGGGACAUCACCAGACAACUUCCCAAGUCUCUGAAAGAUAUUCAGAAGGACCUAUCAAGGACUAACCCAAGUUUUUUCUGAUUCCUAAGAAAAUUUCUUUUGUAGGUAGAAAAUUGCUCUGCAUAGAUUACAUUCAAAGUGAUAAGUGUAAAUAUGCUGCAUCCAUGAUGCAAAUUUGCAGAAAAAAAAAUAACAUUAUUGUCUCCAAUUCUAGACCCAAACACUUGAAAGAUAGCAGCAGCAAAUUUUAAAGAGGUUAUAUUUUUCUGCCCUUCAGGUUUGGCUUGUUUUCCUGGGCAUGGCCACAGCUAAUAUUAGUGCUGGAUGAUGUCAUUUUUAGCAUAUAAUUUUUGCAGGGAAAGGAAUUCAGCUCCUGAAAAUAUCAACAAAAUGUGUUUGUUUUGUGUCUAUAGCAGUGCACAUGCACUAUGACAUUUAGGUCAUUCAACUUCUGUAACUUCAACACAUGCCAAUCUAUGUCCAGGCGUAGCCUGUAGUAAGAAUCACUGAAAUUUAAGAAGUGGAUAAACAAACUCAUUCGUUUAUUACCAAUAAGACAUCAAAUGCUAUGUCUUUUACAACCGAAAGGAGAGUAACAUUUUCUGUAGAGAUAAUUUUCACUUGGCAAGAAGGCAAAACAUUUACUGAAAUGCUAUUAUAUACCAGCCAUGAACAUAUACUGCAAAAAGAGAGUGAGCUUUGAUAGCAAACAACUUACUUUAGGUAUUAAAUUGAAGUUAAAAUGAUAGAGAGUUUGAUCAGUUUACAAAAAAAAAAAAAAAAAAAACAUUUUAAAUAUGGUCUAGUUAAGUAAAAGGCAUGACAAAUCUCUAUUAUCACCAAGCAGAAACUUAGAUUCCAAAAUGGCCCUGCUGCUCUCUUCAAUAGAGUUAAUGGUGGAGGAUCCUUAGAUAAAGAAGAUAGAAGAUAAAGAAUAUGAAGUGUCUUCAGCUAAAAGGCACCUAGCAGCUUCUCAAAGGCAGGAGGAAUUUGGAAACCCUGCUGAGGCAAUUCUUUGUUUCACUGUGGGAUGCGACCACACCACAGGCGUCUGCUUGCCUGUCAGACUCACCAUCCACACAUGUUUAUAUAAAAUGUUUAUUACUGUGAA
Molecule: long non-coding RNA, 2099 nt
Organism: Gallus gallus (chicken)
Lineage: Eukaryota; Metazoa; Chordata; Aves; Galliformes; Phasianidae
Exons: 5
Source: RefSeq, a predicted model, not a curated record